Molecule: long non-coding RNA, 3357 nt
Organism: Prinia subflava (tawny-flanked prinia)
Lineage: Eukaryota; Metazoa; Chordata; Aves; Passeriformes; Cisticolidae
Exons: 6
Source: RefSeq, a predicted model, not a curated record
AAAAGAACUUAGACACCCCCUCGCAGCCAGGAAGCCAAGCAAAUAGAUCUCAGAGCCUCUCUCCACUUCCAACUCAAUCUCUCUGGAUUUGCUUCAGUGGCCUACAUUACCAGCAAAGCUGGCAUCAGGUUUGCUCAGUGAACCAAAAGGUUUCUUCCUCUGGAAAACAUGAUCAGGAAGUAUCUGUCCCAGAGAGAGCAUGCUUCCAGCAAGCGUCCUGUUUUUACCUCAGUGCUUGGGGGUAUGGAUGUGACAGUGGUCUCCUAUGCAACACUACUGUGCAUUAACUGUUAUAUCCAAAGUGAAAUGUUUCCCUUGUCUUGUACCUGAAGUACCCACUGGUAUGUCUAGUUUGCCUUUCUGUAUUCCGCCUUUAAACUGUCUUUACUGUUGUGGUGUUGUUGUUGUGUGUGUAUUUUUUGUUUUUUGGUUGUUUUUUUUUUCUCUCUUGCCAGAUUGUGUCAUAGAUCUAACAACUUUGGGAUAAGCAAGAGGCCAGAGCACAUGUUUAGAUACUUUGGGCUAUUUUGAGGUCAAGGACAAUUUUUUUACUUGCUUGGUUGUUCGUACCACCUGUAAACGGGUAAUAGUGACACUGACACUGGGCACUCCUUUGGCACCCUGUCAAAAAAUAACAAUUCAGAAACAGUCUGGCUUGGAAUCAGGGGAGCUGUUAACAUUUAGUUUAAUAUAGAUUAAUACAGUGUAGCCAGUGAUAAACCUACAUUGUGAGAAAAUGAAUGAAUUUAGUGAAUCCACUGAAAUGAAGACGAUGUCUGAGAUUCAAUAGUGUGUCUGUUUAGUCCCUUUUAAAAUUUUAUUUAUUGUUUUUUAAAGUAUUUGUUGACAGCUGUUUUCUUUGGUAAGUCUUCUUAACACUCUGCUCCUCCUUAACAGAAGGACAAGACCAAGUGUCUUCAAGAUAAAUCUAGCAGCAGCAAAAGCCAUGCUAGCCUGCCCCCAGCAUUAGUGGGAAGGCAACUGGGAAUUUGUACGUGUAAGGAGUGAGUGGAAUAGUGGAGCAUUACCUUCUGUAUUUACUCUGUUGCUGUUUUGCAUUACUGAACAUUGUUUAGGAGGAAAUGAAAAUCUUUCUAAUGGGAUCUAAAUGAGAUGUGUGGAGCAGCAGAAGGUAGUUCCCUGGAAUGAAAUCAGAUCUGACGGUUGGGAUUUAACACACUCUCUUUUGCCAGAAGUGUGUAAGAUUAUUAAAGCAUCACAACCUCAUUUGGUUGCUUUGUAAUCUGUUCUUAACCUUCAUGCUGAUGAGGCUGUUAUGUAACAACGAGUGAGGGCCAGACCUUAUGUUGCUUCAGUGCCAUGCCCAGAGACCCCAAAGGGGCCAGGUGGAAAGCUGGCUGCAGUUUCCCUCUUGAGAUUAUGUGGAAAACUUGUUUUUGGGCUGUGGGUAGCAUCUCUGACCACAGAGAGGUGUAUCCUAAGGUCUACUAUAUAAUACUAUGUGUUGUCACUGAAACACUCCUGCUUUCAGGAGGCCCAUGGCAAUUCUCUUGACAGGGACACUGGCUAACUCUUUCUCCUUCAGCACCUAAAUUUUGGCUGCAUAGAGAAGCAGGAGUGACUGCUGUAAAGAAGGUGCUUAUUUUUAUUUAAUUUUCAUUAAAUUAAAGGUUUUUCUUUUACACCAGCAAUCUUUGGUUUGACUUUAAUCAAAAGAGAGAUGUAGGUGAGUAGAUAGCCCUUGCUGAGCUCUCCUUUCAGCAGAAUGAAACAUUGCAGUGAUACCUUAAGUUUUAGCUAUCAUAUUUUUCAGGUUCUGUGCUGCCUAGGGGUGCAGUUCUGAGCCUCAUAUUUAAGCGCUAGUGAGCUCUCUUCAUGGAGUAGGUAGACAAAUCGUUUUCCUGCUGAAGACCAAGGACAGUGAGUACAAGUUUCAGGCCCAAAAGCAUAAACAAUGGUGGACUGAAGAGAGAAACAAGAAGGAUGGGAUCUCACAACCUGAAGCUGUGAUUGGACAAUUAAACCCCAAUAUGCAAAUGGACCAAAAUUUAUAAAAGUGUGAGACCCCGUGACCACUCGUCCAUUUUGUGACCAUUUCAAGUCCACCUUGGGUGUAGCCCUGGCCAGGCUCUUGUGCUAUCCAAGGUAUACCUAAAGGCCUUUCAAUAAAUACCUACUUUAUUCUCUAACUCUGUCCAGUCUCUGUUCCAGGUCAGCCUUCCAAGGCAUCAGUUUCUGGGGACCCAGAUGGGACAGUGAGGCAUCUGAAAACCCCCCCUGGACCAGAGGAACACCCAGCUCCUGCCUCCCACUCCUACUGGCACUCCGAGGGGGGUGACCCCAGCUGUGGCCCAGGAGGUAUCAGAGCCCAAGAAUCCAAAACUCUGUGGACCUGACAGAUGCGAUCUCUGGACCAGCACUGAAUGAAUGCCUCAUCUGACCUUGAUCUAGAAGAUGUUGUGGCCGCUGGAGUACAGAUAGCCCUCCAGUUGAUGGGGUGGAGGUUUCUGAGUGAAAAGAUGGUAAAAUGAAGAAAGAGUCACCUUUGAACACGGGAGGCUCCUCUACAUUAUUCUCCAGGAAGAAGAAAAGCUCCCUUACCCCAGCUUCCUGUGAAACGAUGCAGCAUUAAGGAAACAAAACCAAAAGGGAGAAGUGAAACCCUGCUAAGGGCCCUGUUCUCUGAUGGUGAGGCAACAGAGCACCUGCUCUUGGGGGAAAACUUCUGUUGAGCAGUGUAAGAACAGAGACAUCUUGCAUGACCUUCCUUCCUGUCCAUCCAAAGAAGAAACAUCACAUUCUGGCUUCUUGCUCAAGCAAUAGUUUAAACCUGAAUGGUACAAAACCAUGUUUGGUAUCUCAUAAAAGAUAUGCCAUUACAUACCUUGCAAUACAAACACAAACCCUGAAUGCAGAAUUCUGAUUCUUGGCCCAAAUGAUGGUACAGCAGUUACUUAAACAACCAAGUGCAAGCAAAAGGAAAUAUUCUCAGAUUGUAAUGCAAAUAGGUGAGUCUCUCAGGUGGUAACAUAACAGAAAGACUUCCACAAAAAUAAUGCGCCAAGCAAAAACAACGUUCCCUAGCUCAAUGUUGACAGCUUUGCAGAUUUGGAUGUGGUCUCUUCAGCCUAUAAUGCCUCAGUUUAUCCAUUACCUUUUUCUACCUUCUUAACCAAGUAAUACUGAAUUUAAAAGACCCUAAGUAGAACAGACAUUGCAUUCUCCAGGUAUCACUAAAAAUGCAACAGCGUCACAAAACCUAAUUUGAUCACUGAAUUUGUUUUUGUUGAUGAGCCCUAUGGAGAGGUAUGAUUUACCAGGCUCAGUUCACAUCUCUCCCUGUGCAGCAAUAUUUUUAUCUUGCUUUUAGUGACACAGUGUCUUCUUUGGAAAAUA